This is a long non-coding RNA of Mya arenaria, 310 nucleotides long. RefSeq lists it as uncharacterized. NCBI's taxonomy places the organism in Eukaryota, Metazoa, Mollusca, Bivalvia, Myida, Myidae. The record is from RefSeq and is a predicted model, not a curated record. The transcript is spliced from 3 exons.
GAACAAUCUCUGCCUGUAUGUCCGGAUGAAAACAUUACAUGUGUAAAUACACCUGGAAGCUUUGAAUGCAGAUGUUCGCCUGGAUAUUUGAAUACAUCUGGUGUAUGCUUAGACAUUGACGAAUGUGCUGAUAGCAGCAAACCUGUAUGUGAACAGAUGUGUCGAAAUACACCAGGAAGCUACAUUUGUGAGUGCAGUGAGGGAUUUAAACCUGACAAAUCAUCAUGUGUGGAUGUAAAUGAGUGUGCGGCUGUGUCACAAUGCGACCAUAACUGUAUAAACACCAUCGGUAGCUACAGGUGUACCUGCA